ACUGGCAAACCAAUCUAACACCAGGCAAAACGUGGAGAUUACCUUUACCGGUGAUGUUUAGGUCACGUGUGAGAUUCAAAUCAGCGACGAGCUUACACGUGGAAUCUAAAGAGCCAACACCUCCUAGGUACGCAUGAAACCGACGAUUCAUCAUCAUCCGGUGAAGGGUCCGGCGCCGGAGAAGGUGACGGCGGUUCGAAUCUAAUCGCAGUCUCAUCCCACGAAUUGAUUAAUUUCGGAUUUGCAGAUAUGAAGAUGAAGAAGACGAAACAGAGACAGAAUCUCACCAUUGAAAUCGAAAUCAUCUAACCAUUGUUCCACAAAACAAAGAAGACAUUUGGAUUCGAAGAACAAAGAGGCUAAACAACA
Molecule: long non-coding RNA, 369 nt
Filed under: Arabidopsis lyrata
Lineage: Eukaryota; Viridiplantae; Streptophyta; Magnoliopsida; Brassicales; Brassicaceae
Description: long non-coding RNA (ALYR_LNC000573)
Source: RNAcentral